AUCAUUACGUAAUCCCCUUAAAGAAUUAAGAUGUUUUUGUAAGCCUGAUUGGAGCCCUUUAUACUCAUGUUUUGAUAGAACAUACUUUUUAAUGAGUUUGAGAUCAUCCUGUUUAUUUUAAACUAAUGCAGCUUAACUGAAUCUACAUUCUAUGCCCCACUAUGCUAUACGUGUUUAUAACUUACCCCUACACACCCACACUCACAUCCUAGGCCCCUCUUUACACUAUCAUUUAAUUUAAUCCUAUCUCUUACCUAUUAACAAUUAUUACCCCUUUUUAUUUCUCUUUUCCCUUCAUAAACUCGGCUUUUACUAUUUUAUUUCGUUUAUCUGUUUUUAAACGUUUUUAUUCAAAAUUCCACUUAGGUUAACGCCCCAGCAUUUACAUUUUUUUGGGUACGGUGAUUUAUUCCUUAUUAUAAACUUAUUAAUUAUUAUCUUAUAUCCCACCUACCCUGUCGGCGACAUUGGCUACAGUCAGAAGCCGACGUUAAACCUCAAACCAUCAUCAUCAUCCUGUUUAUUUUAAAUGAGUUUGAGAUCUUCUGCUUAAGAUAAAGGCUUCUAUAGUACAUUUGUAUAUUAUAGUUUUUGUCAAAAAUGCAACUUCACCAUACAUCAUGGAAGUGAUAUGGAACAACAAGGGUGGUUCGAAGUUGCUAUAUCAGGGUUAUUCGUAAAUAAAGAAGAAAGAAAGCAAAUCAACAAUUAGGUGGGAGUAUUCCCACUAUUUAUAGGCAUAUUUUUAUGCCUUUCAUUGUCUGAAACAAACAGUAUUACAGUGUUGGGUUUAGUAUUACAGUGUUGGGUUUAGUGUUAUAUGUUGGGUUUAGUGUUACAUUGUUGGGUUUAGUGUUAUAUGUUGGGUUUAGUGUUACAUUGUUGGGUUUAGUGUUACAUUGUUGGGUUUGUUAUCAUAAUGUUGGUUUUUGUGUUACGGUAACAGUGUUGCAUUUAGUGUUGCUUUAGUUUUCCAUUAACGACCUUUCCUUUAGUGUUAAAGUGUUCAGUUUAGUGUACUGUAAUCAGGGUUUAGUAUUAUAGUGUUAAGUUUAGUGUACUGUAAUCAGGGUUUAGUAUUAUAGUGUUAAGUGUAGUGUAUUGUAAUCAGGGUUUAGUAUUAUAGUGUUAAGUUUAGUGUACUGUAAUCAGGGUUUAGUAUUACAGUGUUAAGUUUAGUGUACUGUAAUCAGGGUUUAGUAUUGCAGUGUUAAGUUUAGUUUACUGUAAUCAGGGAUUAGUAUUAUAGUGUUAAGUUUAGUGUACUGUAAUCAGGGAUUAGUAUUACAGUGUUAAGUUUAGUGUACUGUAAUCAGGGAUUAGUAUUACAGUGUUAAGUUUAGUGUACUGUAAUCAGGGAUUAGUAUUACAGUGUUAAGUUUAGUGUACUGUAAUCAGGGAUUUGUAUUAUAGUGUUAAGUUUAGAGUUACUGUAAUCAGGGAUUAGUAUUACAGUGUUAAGUUUAGUGUACUGUAAUCAGGGAUUAGUAUUACAGUGUUAAGUUUAGUGUACUGUAAUCAGGGAUUAGUAUUACAGUGUUAAGUUUAGUGUACUGUAAUCAGGGAUUAGUAUUACAGUGUUAAGUUUAGUGUACUGUAAUCAGGGAUUAGUAUUACAGUGUUAAGUUUAGUGUACUGUAAUCAGGGAUUAGUAUUAUAGUGUUAAGUUUAGAGUUACUGUAAUCAGGGAUUAGUAUUACAGUGUUAAGUUUAGUGUACUGUAAUCAGGGAUUAGUAUUAUAGUGUUGUUUUAGUUUUACAGUAACACCUUAGUUUUAGUGUUCUAGUGUUGAGUUGAGUUUUACAGUGUUGGCUUUUGUGUUACUAUAACAUUAUCGGGUGUAGUGUCCCUGGUUCUGGAAAUAACAGGGCUGAUUUGUCAGUCCAAACUUCUGGAAGCGAUGUAUAUAGACAUUUUGUUGAUAUUGUGUGUGUCACUGUUAUAAAAAAAUAAUGUGUGUGGUUUAGAAAAAAGGUUGGAAUCAAACAUUGACUUCAAAAUGCUUUCAUCUUGUUUCUUUACUUGGUUUGUUUUAGUCCUUUUUGAAUAAAUAUUGCUUAAGAAAUA
RNAcentral lists this long non-coding RNA (2068 nucleotides) under Haliotis rubra (blacklip abalone). RNAcentral's name for it is "uncharacterized LOC124254033". The record is from RNAcentral. Lineage: Eukaryota; Metazoa; Mollusca; Gastropoda; Lepetellida; Haliotidae.